GGCUCAGCGAUCGGGUCUUCCUUAACUGGUUGCACUCGAGCCGCUUUGCCUUAUCUUCUAGACACACGUCUCAGCAGACGUGCGGCUCUAGGACUUUUACUGUGAAUAAAUUAGAGUGUUCAAAGCAGGCAAUCGCUUGAAUACGUUAGCAUGGAAUAAUAGAAUAGGACGUGUGGUUCUAUUUUGUUGGUUUCUAGAAUCGCCGUA
Molecule: ribosomal RNA, 207 nt
Filed under: uncultured fungus
Lineage: Eukaryota; Fungi
Description: partial small subunit ribosomal RNA
Rfam family: Eukaryotic small subunit ribosomal RNA (bases 87-207)
Source: RNAcentral